This 275-nucleotide ribosomal RNA is filed under the name uncultured bacterium. RNAcentral's name for it is "partial 16S ribosomal RNA". It matches the Rfam family "Bacterial small subunit ribosomal RNA", at positions 79 to 354 of the family's 1533-position model. The record is from RNAcentral.
CUUUCUCCGCCGGCGACCGGCGCACGGGUGAGUAACACGUAUGCAACCUGCCCCUGUCAGGGGGACAACCCGCCGAAAGGCGGGCUAACCCGCGUACAUGCCACCGGGGCAUCCCGGAGGCAGGAAAGGCUUCGGCCGGACAGGGAUGGGCAUGCGGCGCAUUAGGCAGUAGGCGGGGUAACGGCCCACCUAGGCGACGAUGCGUAGGGGUUCUGAGAGGAAGGUCCCCCACACUGGUACUGAGACACGGUCCAAACUCCUACGGAAGGCAGCAG